GAAUGUGAGGGCAUUCUGGCUGUGACAUCUGUCACCUCAUUGAUCGUCAGGGUUGACUGGACUGAUCUGUUGGCCCACCUGGGUGUUCCCUUCCUCCCUCACUGCUUCAUGUGAGUCCAUCCCAAAGCAGCAUUCUGGGUUGAACAGAAUAACCAUCCCUGCUAGAGGAGGACUGUUCUUCGGUCAAGGUUAUAGGAGUAACUGCACUCCAAACAAGCUUUCAAGACUAAGGACCACUGGAGGCAAUUUCUAGUUUUGUGAGAGAUUUUUAAAAAAAUAUGUACAACAUAUAGCUGUAUAUUGGCAAUAUGUAUUUCUUA
RNAcentral lists this small nuclear RNA (320 nucleotides) under Carlito syrichta (Philippine tarsier). RNAcentral describes it as "7SK RNA (ENSTSYG00000021107.2)". It matches the Rfam family "7SK RNA". From Rfam's summary of the family: 7SK was discovered as an abundant small nuclear RNA in the mid-70s but a possible function has only recently been suggested. Two independent studies have found that 7SK RNA binds the CDK9/cyclin T complex (known as elongation factor P-TEFb). Lineage: Eukaryota; Metazoa; Chordata; Mammalia; Primates; Tarsiidae. The record is from Rfam by way of RNAcentral.